AAUGGGAUAAAAGCGCCUGGCCAAUCCCUUGUGGGAGUGGUGACGAGGAUGGAGGUUCCCUGGUGUGAACCAGGGCUAACUGGAACAGAUCCAGGAAAAUCGAGAGAUCGGCGGAUGCCUCCCGCUGCAAAGUGCAGUUGAAUUCCCAUAGCGAUAAAAAAUUUAAUAAAUUCUGAAGCGAUCAAUGUUGUUAUUGAUU
This 199-nucleotide non-coding RNA is filed under the name Anaerolinea thermophila. The record is from RNAcentral. Lineage: Bacteria; Bacillati; Chloroflexota; Anaerolineae; Anaerolineales; Anaerolineaceae.